RNAcentral lists this transfer RNA (76 nucleotides) under Candidatus Roizmanbacteria bacterium RIFCSPLOWO2_02_FULL_38_10. RNAcentral's name for it is "tRNA-Pro". It matches the Rfam family "tRNA". Rfam says of the family: Transfer RNA (tRNA) molecules are approximately 80 nucleotides in length. Their secondary structure includes four short double-helical elements and three loops (D, anti-codon, and T loops). Further hydrogen bonds mediate the characteristic L-shaped molecular structure. tRNAs have two regions of fundamental functional importance: the anti-codon, which is responsible for specific mRNA codon recognition, and the 3' end, to which the tRNAs corresponding amino acid is attached (by aminoacyl-tRNA synthetases). tRNAs cope with the degeneracy of the genetic code in two manners: having more than one tRNA (with a specific anti-codon) for a particular amino acid; and 'wobble' base-pairing, i.e. permitting non-standard base-pairing at the 3rd anti-codon position. The record is from RNAcentral. Lineage: Bacteria; Candidatus Roizmaniibacteriota.
CGGAGAGUGGCGCAGAGGCUAGCGCGCGUCGUUCGGGACGACGAGGCCGCGGGUUCAAGUCCCGCCUCUCCGACCA